RNAcentral lists this ribosomal RNA (382 nucleotides) under uncultured eukaryote. RNAcentral's name for it is "partial 18S ribosomal RNA". It matches the Rfam family "Eukaryotic small subunit ribosomal RNA", at positions 592 to 976 of the family's 1831-position model. The record is from RNAcentral.
CAAUAGCGUAUAUUAAAGUUGUUGCAGUUAAAAAGCUCGUAGUUGGAUUUCUGGUUGAAGCGACCGGUCGGGCGUUGAUUUGUCUGCACUGGAGUCGGUUUUGGCCAUCCUCUAGGAAAGUGCGUCUGGUAUUAAGUUAUCGGGCGUAUGAUCCUGGUCUUUUACUGUGAAAAAAUUAGAGUGUUUAAAGCAGGCCUUCGCCUUGAAUACAUUAGCAUGGAAUAAUAAGAUAGGACUUUGGUCUAUUUUGUUGGUUUGCAGACCGAAGUAAUGAUUAAUAGGGAUAGUUGGGGGUAUUUAUAUUCCGAUGUCAGAGGUGAAAUUCUUAGAUUUUCGGAAGAUAAACUUAUGCGAAAGCAUUUACCAAGGAUGUUUNCAUUAA